RNAcentral lists this ribosomal RNA (81 nucleotides) under Lysinibacillus sphaericus. RNAcentral's name for it is "partial 23S ribosomal RNA". The record is from RNAcentral. Lineage: Bacteria; Bacillati; Bacillota; Bacilli; Caryophanales; Bacillaceae.
GAUGAGGUAGAUAGGUUCGAGGUGGAAGUGUGGUGACACAUGGAGCUGACGAAUACUAAUCGAUCGAGGACUUAACCAAAA